This is a long non-coding RNA of Neopsephotus bourkii (Bourke's parrot), 310 nucleotides long. RefSeq lists it as uncharacterized. Lineage: Eukaryota; Metazoa; Chordata; Aves; Psittaciformes; Psittacidae. The record is from RefSeq and is a predicted model, not a curated record. The transcript has 2 exons.
AGAACAUAACAGAGACUUUAAAUUCAGGUGCUAAGAAAAGACCAUUGUCAGAGAUCCCUUGUUACAUUACAGUAUGACCAAGACAGACCAGCAACAAGUGAUGAUAAUAUUCUUUACACCAGCUGCUUUAUACACCCAUACUAACAGCAUCUGUGUUUGCAAUGUACCCUCUACAAGUUAUCUAAGGAAUUAGAAGCGUAAGUAAUAACGAAAAUCAUGUCCUAACAUGAGACAUUCUCUCAGUUGAAGAGCUGACAUUAUUUUCUGAAAGAUCCUGAAAUGAACAGAAGGUUGCAAUGUCUUUGGUUAA